Lynx canadensis (Canada lynx) is the source of this 3388-nucleotide long non-coding RNA. RefSeq lists it as uncharacterized. NCBI's taxonomy places the organism in Eukaryota, Metazoa, Chordata, Mammalia, Carnivora, Felidae. The record is from RefSeq and is a predicted model, not a curated record. The transcript has 2 exons.
CACUCUACACUUCACUGGCAACUUCCUCGUUGCAAAAUGGGACUGAAACUUCUCAGUACUUGCUGCACCCAAAAGGUGCAGGAAGAGAAAAGAAGAAGAAAGCCAGAGAGAGCCAUCUAUACUGCAAAUCUGACUGUUUCUCUCCAAAUGAAAAUCUCUUUGGUGGCUCCACACCGUCUUUGACAAAAUUCAUCCUUCUGUCCUCUGAAUGUUUCCGAUACACCUGCUAUGCAUCAGACAGUGUUCUAGGCCCAGGGGCUAGACCAUUCAGUAGCUUUUACUUGGCUGAACGAGGAAAAAGCAAAGUCCGUAUCUUCACGGGGCCCCCGUUCUACUCGAUGCUGGCGUGGGAGACAGAGAAGCAGCAGAAGAAAAAUCAAGCAGGAACGAUUAUUGAACCAAUCACCGGAAUCCUGGGAGGAGGUUCUCUUCUUAGAGAAGCAGGACAAUUGAGGGAGUUGAUCUUUUGUGUCCCCGGGAGAGAGAGAAGAGAAAGGAGCGGAGUCCAGGAACAGACAGAGGGAGCCACGAUAUUUUUUCCAGAACCAACGUUCAGAAGUCUGCCCUCACCCUUUGGUAUGACUCGGGAUUUGCCCCCAGCGCCAGCCCCCUGUGGCCACUCUGAGGCCAAGUAUGAACAUUUUGGGGUCAGACCACGCAAUGACUCAUCCUCGCGGCGUGUGCCCGUCAACGGCGCAAGGAGAGGGGGAGGGGGCUUCUCAAGGACGCCAACCCACCUCUGCGGGCAGCAAGGAGCUGCUGGGUGUGUCCAAACGACUAGAAGCCAAGCUUCCAGCUAAGAAAAGCAGACCUGGUUUCUAUCCCCACAGGAGAAAAAAGAGAAAGGAAAAAAAAACAAAAACAAAAACAGACUAAGAGGAGGGGGCACAGAAUCUUCCAGAUGCCUGUUUCCUCCAUCCUCCCUUCGUAAUUACCCACAGCAGCAGCCGGCAUCCUGGAAAGAGCCAGGUUUGGGCUCCGAGACCUACGUAAAGGGCCCUUGGGGCCGUGAGUCACCUCUGACUCUGACGGCUCGACAAAGGUGACAGCUGAGAGCGAUGUGGUCUCUUUUACCCAGCCGUGCACGGCCCCUUCCCGCCAAAGUGGGGUGUGACACAUAUCUCCCCCCCACCCCCCCCCCCCGCUACCUGCAAGCCCAGCUCUCCUUGGGUGGGGGAAGGGGGUGGGCGGGAUGGUUCCUCGUUUGUAUACAUCAGGGCCCUGUUUGCAUGGAUCCCCGGCAGCACCGGGGCUCCAGGACAGCCGGCCCAGACCCGAGGGACCUCGAAGCCCCGUGGGGAAGGCCUGCAAAACAAAAGAGGGCCUGGUCCCUCACCCGGACACAGAGAGCCGCUCCCAGCCCUGUCUAGGCACGGGCCACAGGGUCUGGUCACUGAGGGCCGGGAAGCGGGGACCCAAGGCUGACCCGGUGGGGGGCAGGGGAGUGGGCAGCGAAGGCAGGCGGGGAGACUGGCGUGCCGGACAACCGUCCUCAGAUGGGCACUGUGAGCACCAGGCCAAGGACGGCCUCCGCACCCAGUGAAGAAGCUGGUGGCCGUGGGUGUUGGGGGCAAGGAACAUCCUUCCGUCCCAGUUCGCUCCACAACGGUGAGCAGAGGAAGAAAACAGUUUUAGUAUCGAAUAAGCGUGGAAGCCGGUUGCAGCGCGCCCACACGCGAGGCUCCGUGGAGAUGACACAGCCGGAAAGACAGUGUGCCAUUUUCUGUGCCACCGAACAGCCACAAUCCGUUGUGAACACGUGCCCAAGACUAAGGGCAGCCCGUCGUCCCACAGGAGGGCCUGGCCACGCCGUCCUCGUUCUCCACGCGGUUACCCGAGUUCACCCACCGGCUCCGGGAGCCGGUUGUGCCGGUGAGUUUGCCUUUGCCUCUAGGACAAGCCGGCUGUCACAGCCUGGAGCGUGGUGACAGGCACGGUGGGACCGCAGACGUUGAUGUCUGCAUUUCAAAGAGAUAAUGAGGACCGUUAAGCUGUUACAGAACACGCCUGGGCUGUAAAGCUGGCGAGAAGUGUACAAAUAAUUCACACUUGGAUUCCUACCUAUUCCUACGCGUGUUGUAUACACGAAUUCCGACGUGUCAAAGGGACAGAGGACGAAUUCACAAGCACUGGGUUUCUCCUGGGAAUGCUCUACCAAAGGGAAGCCUCUCUUCCCCUUUCCGGCCACUAGACAAGUUCAGCUUUAAAUUUACCUUACAUGGGGGAGGGCAGGGCGCUAAGACAUGGGUGGGGCCUGGGCCUCCUUCCCCAAGUUCUGGGACAUUCCAAAGCCGGCUUCCUUACACAUUUCCAGGAGGACAUGACUGGGAAGCAUGUGAUGGCCUACAGCUGACAUGAGGGGAAUUUUUCCAGGACCUGGGAGGUGGGAACUGCUUUCCUGCCGGAGAGACACAUGCCUCUGGCUUGGUUAGAGGUGACGUUUUGUUAGAGGGACUUGCCAGAUACAGUCGGUGUCAUCUCUGUGAACGAUGCCUAAAGUCCUCUGUGGGGUCCGGAGUCGCUGAGAUGCUCUCGUGGGAACUUUGUGCACCGGACGUGCUUGGCCAGGUGUGAAACCGACUCUCAUCGCAGGGCCAGCCUCAGAAGGACCAGUCCAUGGGCCCCUGGUGGGGGGAGUCUCUUUCUGUGGGCUGAGUCCCGGGGCGGGGGGUGCUUUCUGACAUUUAAGCCAUCCCACCUCUGCGUGGAGUGCAGUCAUUUCCAGGAACAGAAAAUGGCAGACGUUUCUAGAGCGGCUUCUGCAAACCACAGGUGUUGUCCCCCGUAGCCCAACCCACUACCUCGAACCACGGGUGUCACGGAGACCACUGUGACCUGAGCAGGAGGAAACAUUCUCUCUCGAGGACCAGGGUAGCCGCCCCCUCCCCCCCCGCUCCCCUGCCAGGUAAUUGUGGAAAUCACUCUAUUGCAUCCUGGAAGCCCCUUCCCCAAGAGAAAUAAUGCAGAUUUGGCCACACAGACACGCAAAGAUCCCAGGGGGGAGAAUAUGUUGCUAGGACUCCAGAAGAAAGGGGAUGUGUGCAGAAGCAGCAGAAAACCAUCAUGAUGUCCUCGUUUUCUUCCGUGUUAAUUUCAGACCAUGGCAAGGCCUGAUUCAGACACCCCCUCCUCCCUGCAGUCUUCCUGCUUUCCCCCCAUCUCCCCAUCCCCCCCAGCCCAGAGCCCGCGUUUGCCUUCACCCACACCACCCUCCUAUCCACCGAAUGAAUAAAAGACUCUGAUACCCUGAAGUUUUCUGACUUCAAGAGAUGGUCAUUGUAGAACAUCUGGAAAAGCACAAAGAAAAUUAAAAUCACAAAUAAUCCCCCCCCCAUCUGGAUGGAUAUUUUCCCAUUCUUCGUCCUGUGAAUUUUAUGUAUCCUACAAC